CUGAGGGAGAUUUCACGCGUGUAAUGCAGGUGAGGCUACAGCGCAUGCUAGUAGCAAGGGUCAAAUGCUAGAGCAAGAAAUCCUGAUUAGUCAGGAAAAGUACUUUCUGCAGUGGAAAAGGUAACAGCCUGUAACCGGGAUUUGGUUGAGGAGGAGCAGAACGGAAUCACCAAGAAGACCGGAUGUUGUUUCUACAGGAAUUAUAGUACUUCCGAGUGUCUUGGAGGGAGAUGCUUCAGAUGUGUUGUCCUUUCAUUCCGGAGUCCUCCUUUGAGGGAUGAAAGAUUUUGUCUGCGGUGCCCUGGGAGCUGUGUACCCCGCUGUUUGCCAGUGUUAAAGAAGUAGAAAGAAAACAGAUAAUUCUUUGAAGUGGAAGCAGAGGUCUCCACAAAGAAGAAUUUCAAGAAACAGAAGGCAGGACGGGAAUGGAGAAAGACUGCUGUCUUGAUGGAGUGGGAGGGGCUACAUGCAGCUAAUAGACAUAAUUCAGCCAGGUAAUGUUGGAUCACUGGGGGACAAGAUGGAUAUCACUUGGCAAUGUUAUAGGGUGUGUCGUAGUGUGCCGGCACAUUUACGCAGGUUAUUUAUGCUCCAUAAUGAAGAGCAUAAUGAAAAUUGGACACAACUAUAAAUAUGAGUAGGGAAAGCGUAAAUGUGGAGGGAUAAUCAUUGAUGCAAUUAAGAUGUCGUACACAUGCAGUGUGAGCCUGGCCUCCCCUGACUUUCUCCUCUUCCUUUCACCAAGGCUGUAUUUUACCCUGAAACAUCACAUUUAAUCCGACUGGGGAUGUCAGCAUAAAUCCACUGGACUCACACAAGGCGGCUGGCAUUUUAAAUAUGUUAAUGUCAAAGCAAUAAAGUCUUUGCUUAAUCUAUUGCUGAGGUUAUUGACAACUAUUAUUAGAUUGUUAGUGGUAUUUCUUUGUCUUAAUUGGUGUGUGGAUAUGCCUUUGUGGACACAAUGCUUGCUGUGUGUUAAGUACCACCCAGUACACUAAAGCCUUCGUUUGUGCAUUCAUUUUGAAAUGAAAUAAUGGAUAUUGCAUUAAAGUGCCAAGUCGCAGCUUUAAUUUAGUAAGCUUGCAUCAAUAUUGAAAUACUGUGUGUGAAAUAAAGACCUUUUUACUCAUGUAGACCCGACUGCAAUUGUUCAAAAGUAAGUAGACAGAGUAUAUGUCGGUUUUAUCCUGCAGGUUAAAGCACUGGCACGUUCCUGCUCAGGGGUUUUGCAGUCUGGCUGGUAUUUCUUAAGAUGUAACUGUUUUUGUUUUGCAAUUUGUCAGUUAAAUGUCAGGUUCCAAAACAUAAUUAAACCCCAUAACUUUAGAGACAGAGAAGGCCAGAUACAUUAACUUUCAUAAAUGGAGAAAAGGAAACUGAUAUAGUUUAGGGAUCCAGUUCUAUUGACUUAAUUAACAAAAUUACAAAUCAGGAACUGGUAUUUCGGUAUUAAUCUACAAUUUUAUAAUUAUAACGGCAAUGUGUCCAGUUACUUUUGUACUCUGAGUGGGUUUGUUAAACAGGCUUUUUUUCCCACACACAUACUGCUUUCUAUAGGACUGCAUACCAUACUUGGCACCUUAAUGCAGUUUUGUGUUUUAUUUAGGACUAAAUGUACUGAGACACAGACUCUGAACAACAGAAUGUGAAACUGCAAAAACUUACAGUCUGGGUUGUAUAUGUGGGUGUAUGAAAGGGAAAAAACUGCUUGCACAUUUUGGUUUUCUGUCAGAACUGUCAGUUUAAGACAGAGGAAGUGAGGGAGGAAGCGUGGAAGGAGGGGGAAGUAGAGUGAGAAGAUGCAGGAGGAGAGCGAUGGAGACAGAUGAGAAUUGGAGCCCAGAAGCUGAAGUGACCCCGCUGACCAGAUGCUGAUAAACUGCCAUUACUGAGCACUCUGUCAGCUCUGCCUCUCAUAUGUCACUGUCAUCCUGCUGCACUUCACCUUUUCCCUCUCCUCUUCUUAUUUGUCUUUCUCCGCUUGUUUCUUUUUUGUGAACCCUUAUUACUUAUUCACAACUACAUAUUUAUGUUGGGAAGCAUCAUACGUCUCUUCAAGUCUUUUUACCCCUUUUUAAAAUCCCAGUGAAGAGAUAUUUACUUACCUUUGGUUCUGUUUUUCAGAUGCAUUGCCUUACAUUCAAUGUGUCACAACAGGCAUGUUCAGCUUGUGGGAAAUGACUCAGCUCUAGCCAUUAUUUUGACUGACUCAGACAGGCAGUAGGAAGAAGCAGAGGCUUAUCUCUGAAUGAAUAUCUCCUCUCUUUUUAAGAGUGGUUGCUAUGUGCCAACCAAUACUUUCUUCUGUGUUUAUAUAAGAAACAAGUUUCACUGGAUUUUUGGCUUUGUGGUUACGGGUGGUUGUUGUUAAGAUAUCCAGAAAUAGGUGCUGUGAGAUGUUCUUUAAAUCUUACCCAUGACUCUACUUCUGGCAUUACAAUAGUGGCUGGCCUAGGCUGGCCUAGGUUGUCCUACAUAUACAGUGCUUUUUAACUGUGAGUCAGAUCCCUUAAUGCAGCACAGCCUUGCUAUUAUACAGUUCUUCGUUUUUUCUAACACUGGUGGGUAACACUUUAUAGGCACCUAACUCAAGGAAUGCACCUGUGUGCUGUCUACACAGCUUUAUUUGUUCCCAUUUCUUGAGCUUAAUCUACAAAAAGUGCCAAAGAUAACACAGUUUGACAGGCACAAAAUGGUAUUUUUCCACCAACAAGGUGAUUCCCAAAGACCUCUAAGUAAAGCACACACAGAUACACGGACCUACGCUUAAUAAGUAGUGUGUCCUUCAAAAGUGAAGGACAAAAGCAGGAAAAGUACAAGAAAGAAUCUGUAAAACGGGGAUCUUGUCAAAAUGUAUUAAAUUAUGAUUGUAAGACAAGCGCCAUCAGAUUUUGAGCCACCAUGCAAUGUCAUCUGAAAAGCGUCUGAUUGGCAACCUCCUUUAUUUUUCAGCAUGAAAACGAUCCCAAACACAUUACCAAUGCAGUAAAAGCUUACCUGGAUAGAAAAACACAUAAUGGAGCACUCUCAGUCAUGGAUCGGCCUCCUUGGAGGCUGGACCUCAACAGUAUUAGGGCACUGUGAUUUCAUUUUGACAGAUAACUAUCUAUCGCAGCAAACUCAACACAAAACUAACAAAUUUGGUAAAACACAGAUUCUACCACACGUAUUAACUGCAAAACAAACGACUUGCUAGCAGUUAGUUAUGUUGUGUUGAAUUAAUGCAAUGCUUGCCAACAGACUGAGGGAGUAUUCCCAAUCCCCAGAUGUGGGAGACACUUAUGACCUUAUUGGCAUUCCCAGUAUUUUGGACUGUAGCCAAAUCGCUCCAGCAGCAGAAGAAAUAAACAAUAUAAAAAAAGUAUCUGAAAUUAAUAAUAUUGCAUGUGAAAUGGUAUCAGCAGGUGUCCGAAAACAAAGACAAUUUAAAUGUGUUUGUUCAUGAGGUUACUGACUUCUACAGUCAUCUAAUGUUUAAUGUAAUGUGUGACUUCAAAUAUAAGAAAAUAACAAAACUAUUAAACUAUUGUGAAAAAACUUUUCAGCUUUUUUCUUUUGUUCAUGGUAAAAAUAUCUAUUGUGACCAAAGGUGAUGGCACUAAACUGCCACUAUGCCAUUAAAAAGAUGGAAAAAGCUUUGUCCUUGCCUGGUAGUAGAGGCUGGUCAGAACUCCCUUAGGUUAAUCUGUCUAAUAGCAGCCAUUCUCACUGUCACAACCAGGUAAAAUAGUCACUUUCCUGGUUCAGAUGACUUUUCCCUGUCUGAGUGAAGACCAGUUUGACUUUUAAAGUAUGGGAUGUUUUGUCCUUCACCCCGCCCUGCCUUUGGUUACAGAUCUUUUAUGCAUCAGGUGUGGCUUAGACUUGAAAUGGUGUUCUACAUUUUGUUGUAAUAUAUAGGAAAAAGUGCUACAAGGGUCCUCACAAAGAUAGAAGUAGAGCGAUUUGUGUGUGCGAUGAAAAUUGAGCCACACAGACAUUGAUUUGUGUUUGGUGGAACAGAUCAAAUUGUCCCCUCAUGCCUUCACCUACUUUCCCAUGCCGGAUGGUGUAUGUGUGUGUUUUGAAGAUUAUGUGUGUAAGCGAGCGAGCGCGCAAGCAACAUGGCAUCCCGAUUCCUGGGCCAAAACCUGUCAUUUUGUGCCUGUCACAUUGUGUUAAGUGUAGCUCAUACUGCUUCCUUAAUUCCCCGCAUUCCCUUGUCGCCUCCAACACUCAUAAACAGCAUCUCUCAAAAUGGCAUCCGAUUCAUUACACCCCACCCCACACAAAGACGAGAGAAUACAAACCCACACACAUACAGCAGUUUCUGGUACAUUACCAAAUCUGAAGCUUAAUUUCCUUUCCAACCAGCCUGACUUUUAAUGUUUCAUUUUGCUGCUACGUACUCAGGCUGCAGCAUAUUCUAUUUGGUGAAUGCUUACAGAAAACACUUUAAAAUAUUAAAGUGCACAUAUUUCUUCUGCUGGAAAUCCUAUUUAAGAUUAUUAACUUCAUAGUAUUAUUAGUCAAUGAUAUUGAGCUAUAGUACAUAGUUUACCCUAUACAGAGAAGAGUAAUCAGGAACAAAGGCAAUUCAUUGAAACUUGUACAUUCCUGAAAAAUUCAUGGAUUCUUUCACAUGCUGCUAUAACUAAGAGUCCAGACAAGUCAGCUCAUCUAUCUGAAGUCUAUUUCAGCCAAAACAGGGCGAAACUGGAGGUCGGCUUUAUGUACUUCGGCUAUAGCCACUCAGGGCUUUUCAGUCUGAACAACAUAUAUGUAACCAUUGUAUUUCUGCCACACUUACAAAUGGUGAAAGGCAGAAAGUUAGAUCACGUACCUGAUCAUCUUAAAUAACUAAAAUUUAAGAAUACAAAGAAAUGCUGAGUCCUCAUGAUUUGUGUAUUCCAACUUUUUGUUUUCUUCUAUACAGCACAUGUAAAACUACUAACAGGAACAAACACCAGUUUCUCUUAU
Molecule: long non-coding RNA, 4959 nt
Organism: Oreochromis niloticus (Nile tilapia)
Lineage: Eukaryota; Metazoa; Chordata; Actinopteri; Cichliformes; Cichlidae
Exons: 5
Source: RefSeq, a predicted model, not a curated record